This 253-nucleotide ribosomal RNA is filed under the name uncultured bacterium. RNAcentral describes it as "partial 16S ribosomal RNA". It matches the Rfam family "Bacterial small subunit ribosomal RNA", at positions 524 to 776 of the family's 1533-position model. The record is from RNAcentral.
GACGUAGGGCGCGAGCGUUGUCCGGAUUUAUUGGGCGUAAAGAGCUCGUAGGCGGUUUGUCGCGUCGUUCGUGAAAACUCACAGCUUAACUGUGAGCUUGCGGUCGAUACGGGCAGGCUAGAGUUCGGUAGGGGAGACUGGAAUUCCUGGUGUAGCGGUGAAAUGCGCAGAUAUCAGGAAGAACACCAAUGGCGAAAGCAGCUCUCUGGGACGGUACUGACGCUGAGACGCGAAAGCGUGGGGAGCGAACAGG